Molecule: long non-coding RNA, 594 nt
Organism: Myotis daubentonii (Daubenton's bat)
Lineage: Eukaryota; Metazoa; Chordata; Mammalia; Chiroptera; Vespertilionidae
Source: RefSeq, a predicted model, not a curated record
GCUGCUGCGGCCGCCGGAGGGCGCGCUGGGGGAGGAGCCGCAGCCGCAGCCGCAGCCGCCCCGCGGGCCCCGGGCGGCCUAUUGGCUGAGCACCUUCGGCCAAGUGGGCAAGUACAUAGAGAAGCUCUUCAACAGCAGCUUGAAAUCUAAGGAUGUUAAACACCCCAAGAAAGCCGACAACAGCACAAAAGCCCCCCCAGUGAACGCCAGGAAACCCCCACCAGCAAACGCCACGAGCCUCCCUCCACCGAACCCCGCCAACCCGCGGAAUCCCACUAACCCCGCACCGCGCGGCGCCACGAAACCCUGACCACCGAGCUCCUCCCAGGGUCCCAGGUAGGAGAGCUGGGCACAGCCGGCACCAACCAGUCAGGAGCCUCGGAACUGGGGGCAGGUUGGGCGGGAGCGAGAGGAAGACCUGGGGAGCAGGGGUACCAGGGCCACAGGGACUUCCUUCUCCAGGCUGGGCUUUCCCCUCCAGAUGCCCGACUCAGGUCUCCUCGCGGGUCCACCGAUCUCCACCUUUUUUAUGAGAGGGGCCCUAACUCCUCCCACCCCACCCCCAGUGAGAACAAUAAAGAGAAAUGGAAUGUC